GCCUGGCUGGCUCAGUCAGUAAAGCAUGUGACUCUUGAUCUCAAGGUCCUGUGUUCAAACCCCACGUUGGGCG
This 73-nucleotide transfer RNA is filed under the name Ailuropoda melanoleuca (giant panda). It matches the Rfam family "tRNA". Rfam says of the family: Transfer RNA (tRNA) molecules are approximately 80 nucleotides in length. The record is from Rfam by way of RNAcentral. Lineage: Eukaryota; Metazoa; Chordata; Mammalia; Carnivora; Ursidae.